This is a small nuclear RNA of Hyaena hyaena (striped hyena), 102 nucleotides long. The record is from RefSeq and is a predicted model, not a curated record. NCBI's taxonomy places the organism in Eukaryota, Metazoa, Chordata, Mammalia, Carnivora, Hyaenidae.
GUUCGCUGUGGCAGCACAUGUACUAAAAUUGGAACCAUAUAGAGCUUAGCAUGGCCCCUGCACAAGAAUGGCAUGCAAAUUCAUGGAGCAUGUAUGGUGUUG